CCUACCUGAAGAUGGCGCCAAUUACCGU
Molecule: small RNA, 28 nt
Filed under: Bombyx mori (domestic silkworm)
Lineage: Eukaryota; Metazoa; Arthropoda; Insecta; Lepidoptera; Bombycidae
Description: ovarian small RNA-13947
Source: RNAcentral